Long non-coding RNA from Anthonomus grandis grandis, 403 nucleotides. RefSeq lists it as uncharacterized. The transcript is spliced from 2 exons. The record is from RefSeq and is a predicted model, not a curated record. NCBI's taxonomy places the organism in Eukaryota, Metazoa, Arthropoda, Insecta, Coleoptera, Curculionidae.
CAACAUACUUUUCGUCCCAGGAGUAUUACCCCAGGUUCAACUAUCUAAAAUCCAAUUAUUGUAUUUUCCCCCUUGUGUUUUGACCUGUUUAGCCAUUAUAUUUUAUGGGUCAAAAGUGAAAUUAUAUCCUGACAUUACCGGAUUGAAAUGUUUGCUUUAAUCUCAAUGGUGCUGAUUUUAUACAUAAGCAAAAACCAAACCGACAGUGUGUUUAAAUGGGAUUUUCCGGAUCAUUUUAUUAAAGGAAUUUAUCAGUCUACCCUAGUCCUUUGGGAUAAAAUUAAUUAUAGGACUCUCUGAGGGGCUUUAGCCAUCGUAACGACUUUCUAGAGAAAUACCAAAGUUUUUAUAUGAAGGUCGUAUAUUCCGCAAAAAUGCUGGAUAAUAAAAUUACAUUGACGUU